UGAUCUUUAUUUUUUUUGUUUUGUUGUUAUAUUGCUUUUUUUAUAACUUUCUUGAAUUUGAUUUGUGUGUAUAUAGCUGCUUUUGUUUACAUAUGCUGUUAAUUAUAUCAAAUUUUAUGUUGUGAUUAUUUUUUUUUGAUAACUGUGGUGUUCGAGCUAGAUUUCGGCAUCUAGACUAAAUCCGCGGGCUACCUGUCAGCCUCCCAACAGCAACAAAUAUUAUUAUCUUUGUCCACUAAGACUACGACAGAUUAAAGAAUCACCUAGUGUUUUUUUUUGUCUUUGUUGGGACAAAUUUUAUGUAGUGAUUUUAGUUCAAGAAUAGAUUUUUAUGCUGAUUCUUGAUUCAGAAGCGGAGCCAUGGAGUAACUGGUAAAGUUCCCGCGAUUUGACCAGGAGGUCGCGGGUUCAAGGCUUGGUAAUAGCCUCCGGCAAAUACACCCUUGUGGUGGGGCCCUUUCCCGAAUCCUGUGCAUAGAGGGAGCUUUAGUGCACCGAGCUGCCCUUUUUACUGAUUGUUGAUUCUGGGUGGAAAGGCUCUCUUCAUAAUUUCUCCGUGUAAUCCCAUAAGUGGGGUCUAAUCCCAUAAGUGGGGUCUGGGGAGUAUAGAUUGUACGCAGACCUUUUCCAUACCUUGUAGAGAUUGAUAGGUUAUUCCUGAUGGACCUCGGGUUAAUUGAAGUAUACCAAACAGUUUGAAAAAGGGGAUACGGAUAUGGGGGGAAUAUAAUAAGAAGAACGAAAUAAUGUGAAAUGGAGAGAAUUACACAAGAGUCGGAAGAAAGAACAGUAACGACAGUGCAAUAAUAGGAGCAUAAAAAACACUAGUGAUAGCUGAAAUCGAGGAACAAAAAACUACGAGAAUAGUGCUAAAUAACUUUCUUGAAUUCGAUGUGUGUAUAUAGCUGCUUCAGUUUCAAUAGGCUGUAGUAAAUUUUAGUUCAAGAAUUGAUUUCUAUGUUGUUUCUUGAUUCUGGGUGAAAAGAGUUUAUGGAUUUUUAAUCUUUUUUUGUUUUUUUUAAUCUACCAACAACAACAACAACAUAUGAUGUGUAAUUCCACAAGUGGGGUGGGGGGUUAGAGUGUACGCAGACAUUACCCUUACUUCGUUGAGAUAGAGGGUUGUUUAUGAUAGAUCCUCGGUUUAAAUAAAGCAUAGUAAACAGUUUGAAAAAGGGGAUAUAGAUAUGGGAGCAUGUGAACAAUGAAAUAAUGCGAAAUGGAGGGCAUUACACAAUAGACAGUAGAAAGAAUAGUAAUGGCAACGAAAUAAUGUAAUAAUGGGAGUAGAAAAAACAUCGGUGAUAGCCGAAAUCAAGGAACAAGAAACUAUGAGAAUAGUGUUAAUACUAUUGGUAAGAAGGAAGGUCCAAGUAUGAUGACUAAGCCUACCUAUCCCGUAGGGCAGUGAGAGAAUGCUCAACUAUCAACAAACCUUCUACUCCCGCGACCUCCAAGCUCCCCUAUCUACCAGUCCACUAAUAUCUGGAGGCUGUAAUUUCAUAAAAAAUAUGUAUUGUUUCUUGUUCAAGAGUUGAUUUUUAUGCUGCUUCAGUUUCGGUAGGUUGUUAUAUUCUAAUAUGUAAUGAUUUUAGUUAAAGAAUUGAUUUUUAUGCUGUUUCUUGAUUCUGGAUGAAAAGGAUAUCUUCUUAACAUUGUUGCAGUUUUGUCCACCUGUCCACUAAUGUAUUGAGGUUGUAAUUUCAUAUAAUUUAUGUACUGAUUAUUCAAGAAUUGAUUUUUAAGUUGUUUCUGGGGAAAAAGGGUGUCUUCUUAACCGCUGGAAAAGAAUAUCUCAGGAAUCUUUUGCAUUUUUAUUCACUAGUAUCUAGAGGUUUAUUUACUGUUUGUGUUCAAGAAUGGAUAGUUAUGUUGUUUCUUAUUCGGAUAAAAGGGGUGUAACAGCCCAGUGAGACUGUCUGUUUUGAGCAUAAGUCGGAACGGCUAUAAAACGUGUUACCCUGUUGCUAGGUGUAGUGGCUACUUAUCUAAGAGUAAGGACCAGAGAAGUGAUAAUGAAAUUAAUUAAACCUGAAUCUGCAAUGCAACUGAAUGCAAAAAUAAUGAAGAAAGGUAGAAGGGAAUGGGAAUACAAAGAAGAAGGAAGAUGAGGAAGGGAUAAGCAUUAAACGUAGCCUAUCUGUUGGCUAUUCCUACCCGUUACUUAUUAACCAUCCUCCCCAAAUCCAUUCCGGCUUAUCAUUCUCCAAACCUACAUCCCAUUCAUAAUCAGCUUACUUUUCUAGAGGGUUAUUUAAUGUUCAUGCUUCUUCGAAAUGCUCCAUCUUGGCAUUCAGUUUUAGGCUUUUAGCUUCCACCAUGUCCUCCAUUGUGUCAAUCUGACCCCCUGGGUUACGUCACUAGGAUCUAAGACCUGUUUCUUUUUAUACCAACAUCUCUCCAUGUUUGUUAAUGUUUAAUUUGCCUAAGGUGUUACAUACACCUCCCUUUAGGGACUCAGCGUCCUUGAUUAAGUUUUCUUCACUAUUCUUUAAGGUCAGAGGCGGAGGCACCUCUGAUACCAUACGUAACAGCCUAGUUUGCUAGUAAGUUCAUCCCCAAAAAUUGUAGUUAUUGCCGUAUAGGGGGGUUGAAAUGAUAAUCAACCUUCAAAGUAUGAUAAAAGUUCACAUUACGGCAUUAUAGAUGAUAAGAUUAGUUUGGUCCACUGCAUUUACUCAUUGGUUCUUCCAACUGUCAAUAAAUGUGUAUUUUCAUUUUCUUAUAUUUCUCUAUAUGACUGUGAUGCAGGAGAUGAAAUGACCCGUGUCAUUUGGAAAUUAAUCAAGGACAAGGUAAAAACGUUGUUUGGCUUAUGCACAUCUCAGUUAAAUAUUCUAUGCCUAUCCUCUCAUAUUCAUUUCACAGUUGCUGAUAUAUGAAUUCUCUUUUAAGCGUUAGCUCAUCUUGCCCUUUGUGGAGUUGGAUAUAAAAUACUUCGAUCUUGGCCUUCCUCACCGUGAUGCCACAGAUGAUAAGGUUACAAUUGAAAGCGCUAAGGCUACUUUGAAGUAUGUAUUCAUUUCUUUCUAUCGUCUAGUAUCUACUUAAUGAAAGAAUGACUGUUUUAGGAGCAAGUUCAUAUGCUGACUUUCCCUAAUCUUUCCAUCGAUUACUGAAUGUUUGAUCUUUAUACACCCAGCCUUAUUAUGUUUGAACUGACAAAUUGCAGGUAUAAUGUAGCAAUUAAGUGUGCAACCAUCACUCCAGGUGUUUACAUUUUUUCGUGUGGAUUAUUUGAUUAUAUUAACCUACUGGUCCUGGAUUAAUUAUGGUAUUCAGAGUACAAUGGUUAAACGAUCUAAUUUUACUGUAAUAUCGGACAUCUAUUGUUUGGUCUUUAAAAUAGAAGUUGCGUGUUUAGGACCUACAUCAAGGAACUAUGUGCUACAACUUGAAAACAUUGAAAAAAGUUCGAUAAAAUCAUAAGUUCUUUAGCAUAUAAAUUAGACAGAGAGACAAUAUAAGAUGUUGAACUUGGAAUAAAGUUGUAUGUGCAUGCAUUUGCAGAUGAGGCUCGUAUGAAGGAGUUUAACUUGAAGCAUAUGUGGAAGAGCCCAAAUGGGACAAUUAGGAAUAUUCUAAAUGGUGAGUCUCCAUCUCUACACGACAAUUUGGUGGGUGAUAUCUUUGUAUGGGAUUUAAGAUAACCAUUAUCAUUGGUUAUUUUGUUGCAGGUACGGUAUUCAGGGAACCAAUCCUCUGCAAAAACAUCCCUCGACUUGUCCCAGGUAUAUUUUACUUGCUGAAGUUGUAUAUUUGUUCGUUGUUCAGUUUAUUCUCUUUCACUUACAUAGAUGUAGCUGGCAUCAGGUUGGUCAAAACCGAUAUGCAUUGGCAGACAUGCUUUUGGUGAUCAAUAUCGAGCUACUGAUACAGUAAUUCAAGGAGCUGGAAAACUCAAAUUAGUAUUUGGUAAAGUUUUUGCUGAUCUGUAUAGUUGCAUGAACCUUUAUGAUUCUCAAGUUCCGCUGGAUAUUUAUUUGUUCUACUCUAGUUUGUCUUCGACUAAAUUGGUUCAAGUUCAUUCACACCUUUUGGUUAUUCUGUUUAGAAAAUGCCGCUGAGAUAUUCUGUUGAACCUGAUUGCAGUACCAGAAGGGACGGAUCAAAAGACCGAGUUUGAGGUUUACAACUUCACUGGUGCUGGUGGAGUAGCUCUAUCCAUGUACAACACGGAUGAGGUUUGAGUGCACCUAAACCUAUGUUGCUCUGUCUCUCCAAAAUUGUUGCUGCACCCGUAUCGGAUCCUUCAAAAUUGCACUACUUUUGGAGGAUCCCAUAUGCACAGUCUGCGCAGCACGGCGUAAAACAAAUAAUUAGAUUUCAGAUCCGUAUGCACAGUCUGACCAACAUGGCGUAAAAGAAAUAAUUAGAAUGCGUAGAGUUAGAAUCUUUCUUGCUUUUUUCUUUUGGUGCAGUCUAUUCGUUCUUUCGCUGAAGCUUCUAUGAACAUGGCGUACCAAAAGAAAUGGCCACUCUAUCUUAGCACAAAGAAUACCAUCCUUAAGAAAUACGACGGAAGGUAUGUCUAGCGCUGAUAUGAUUCUAUAUUUAUCUGCACACUCACCAUUUAAGUUGGAUUAUUCAUUUACCUUUUUACCUCUAUUUGCCUGUCUUCCUAUUUUUGGGUUUCUAUUCUUACAUUUUAUGAUCUUUUCUGAAGAUUCAAGGACAUAUUCCAGGAAGUUUAUGAGUCCAACUGGAAGUUGAAGUUUGAAGAAGCUGGGAUCUGGUAAGCACCCAACUUUUCAUUUCCAACAACUGGUUCUUGUUAAUGAUUGUAAAUAAUGGAGAUUCUUAAAUGCUUGAAUUCAUGAAAAUAGGUACGAACAUCGCCUCAUCGAUGAUAUGGUUGCUUAUGCUUUAAAAAGUGACGGUGGUUAUGUAUGGGCGUGCAAAAACUAUGAUGGAGAUGUACAGAGUGAUUUCUUAGCACAAGGUAUGCUUGGCCAGCUUGCUAACGGUUUAUAAAUCUAUCUAGAAUGCAUUUUGGAUUUUCAAUAUGAAAAUGGUAAGACAAAAAUUACUUGUUCAAUUUUCACUUACGCUACCUACUUUCGUGCUCGUAUGAGCUCAUAGUUGUUCUUAAACUCUUUAUCACUUUAACAGGAUUUGGAUCCCUCGGAUUGAUGACCUCGAUCCUGGUAUGUUCUUUAUUUGCUUCCAUUUUCCCCUUCUUCUCCCAGUUCCUUUAAUUUCGGGUUCUUUUUCUCGUGAUUUCAUAUGAUUAUUUGAGAAAUCCAUGCUUGAUUCAGAUGUUUUCUAGAAAAUAAGAUUUAUCGUUCGUUGGAUCAUUUUAGCUUCAUUUCUGAUUUGCGACUUCAUUUUGGAUUCAAAUGGGGUUGGAAUAUUUGGUUCAGAUAUGUCCGGAUGGAAAGACCGUGGAAGCAGAAGCAGCCCAUGGAACUGUUACACGACACUACAGGGUUCAUCAAAAAGGAGGUGAAACCAGCACGAACAGCAUCGCCUCAAUUUUUGCUUGGACUCGU
This 5492-nucleotide long non-coding RNA is filed under the name Capsicum annuum. RNAcentral's name for it is "long non-coding RNA (CANN_LNC020041)". Lineage: Eukaryota; Viridiplantae; Streptophyta; Magnoliopsida; Solanales; Solanaceae. The record is from RNAcentral.